This 97-nucleotide ribosomal RNA is filed under the name Geobacillus stearothermophilus. The record is from RNAcentral. RNAcentral also lists the same sequence under 2 other names. Lineage: Bacteria; Bacillati; Bacillota; Bacilli; Caryophanales; Anoxybacillaceae.
GGAAACACCCGUUCCCAUCCCGAACACGGAAGUUAAGCCCUCCAGCGCCGAUGGUAGUUGGGGCCAGCGCCCCUGCAAGAGUAGGUCGCUGCUAGGC